Molecule: ribosomal RNA, 237 nt
Filed under: uncultured bacterium
Lineage: Bacteria
Description: partial 16S ribosomal RNA
Rfam family: Bacterial small subunit ribosomal RNA
Source: RNAcentral
GCAAGUCGAACGAGAAAGCACUUCGGUGUGAGUAGAGUGGCGCACGGGUGAGUAACACGUGGGUAAUCUAGCCUUUAGUGGGGAACAACAGUGAGAAAUUACUGCUAAUACCGCAUAAUCUGGAACAGGAAAGGGGGCUUCGGCUCUCGCUGAAGGAUGAGCCCGCGGGACAUUAGCUUGAUGGUGGGGUAAUGGCCUACCAUGGCAACGAUGUCUAGCUGGUCUGAGAGGAUGAUC